Molecule: long non-coding RNA, 2165 nt
Filed under: Mus musculus (house mouse)
Lineage: Eukaryota; Metazoa; Chordata; Mammalia; Rodentia; Muridae
Description: long non-coding RNA chr13:117672847-117675012
Source: RNAcentral
AAAAACCAGAUUUCUUUUUUUUCUUUUUUUCUUUUUUAAAUUCCCCUUUCAGCUGAUAAUGUUUUGAAUUCUAUGACUUUAGGGGUUAGAUUUUUCUUUCAUUAACACUUUGUAUGCUUCCCUGUUUUAUAUUUAGACAAGAUGUGUAUCAUCAUGAACCAAAUAUAUAUUGUCUGGUAAUAUGUGGAGACACUACAUUGUCAAAAGGCCAUGGCAUGAGAUGACAGAAAGACAUGGCAAUAAAGAAAGGGGGGUGGGAAGGGUAGCUUGAGAAUAUAAAUGCUGUACGAAUAGCUAAACCCUUAUGCUUAGAGACAAAAAAAGUGUGAUCACUGCCUCAAACAUGACCAAAAUAAGGAUAAAAUUGUGGCCAGAAACUCGUGGACAGAGGACAGAUCUUAUGCAUUCUCCAAAUCUCUGAGAACUAAAGGUUCAAGAAAUGUCACAUUUUCCUAAAGCUUAUCUCAUCACAGUCAGUCAGUCCAAGAUGCCAUUGGGAUAUACUUCAGCAUACCCUCUACUCCUCCUCUAUUUCAUCUUUGCUAACAUCCCCGGACUCUCACUCUCCAUACAUUUCCAUAUAACCACAAUCCUGGUUUACUGCAUUCCCUAACAACUACAGAUUCUCAUAUUCAUUGUCUACUGGGUCCUACAGAGCAUGCUUGAGAUCAAUAAAAUUCCCAUUCCCUCCAACCACCCAAUUCUUCUUUAAAUAGCCCAUUAAGGUGUUUUUGUUGUUGUUGUUGUUGCUGUUUUUCUCUUUCAAACCAAAGUCACACUUGAGGUUUCUGUUUCCCCUAUAGAUCUUGUAAGUGGUAGCUUCUCCUCUUCCUCUUGGCUCGUCUUUGGGGCCUGAAAGUCAUACAAAUUCUUAAAACCUUGUUCUUAGUUUCAGUCUAGUUUCUUCUCUCGAUUGCCUUUCCCACUCAACUAAUCAUGUCCUCCAGUCUUCAUGCCCCAUUGACUGUAUUUUAAAGGAGAUUGGCAGUCUUUCCACUUUUUCUCACCUUUGACUUGGGUUAUUGUAACUUUAAGUAAAUCUGUCUUUCCCACUUCCAUUCCUACCUCACCUCUUGAAUUUUUCUUCUUUCUUUCUUCCUCUUGUUCCCUUCCUUCUCUCUCCCCUCUCCUCUCUUCUCUCCCUCUCUUUCUUGAAAUGAUCAUAUGCAACACAGUCUCAUCUUGAAUUCACUGUAUUAACCAAAAUUGUCUUUGAACAUGGAUUUUCCUACCUCCACCUACAAAAAGAACUGGGACUCUACAAUCUAUAUGUCUUUAGGAGGGAGCUUACUGAGUCCUAAUCAAACACUCUACUAAUUGAGCUAUAUUUCCAACUCCCGAGAGAUUUCUUUCCUUCUAUUGUUGACUUUAUUUUCCAGAAAACAAACCAGAGCUCAUCUUUGAUAAUCUGAACUAAAUCAUUACUGCAUACCUUUAGGCUAACAUGACCUCUCACUUAAUGGAGGAAUCCAUGAGGUACUGUGUUGUCUGAGUUUCUACCACUUCUAUGACCUCAUCUUUUCUGCUGCCGCCCCAAGAUUCUUCUUGUUACAUUCCCCCACACUAUACGUGGAACUAACCAAAGGAGCCCUGGUUCUUGGUUUCUGGAGGAGUUAUUCCCGCUAUCUGGUGUUCUCUUACCAAACAUUCUCUCUUUCUUAUUGUCUUCAGAGCUCCCCUCAAGUGUCAGACUAUCAUGAAUCCUCAUCUUCUCACCCUUCCACCUUGGUGUCCUUUAGUUUCUCUUUGAAACACAUAAUAUAAAUUCACGUAUUCUGUCAUUUAUCUCCUUCCCCACACAUGUCCCAAACAAAAGCUGCAAUAAAGGUUUUGAUUUUGUAUUUUAUUUUGGCAUCUUGUUCUAAACCUCUUUCUGGGAUUUAUACUUUUAUUUAUCAUUUUUAAUUUACUAUGAUUCAUUAUUUGUUGAAAAAUUACUGAAUCAUGUUAUUACUCUUGAAUUUUAAUCAAAUAGAGUUUUCACUUCCUUCACUAAAUGCUCCUCUACUUGAAAAAACAAACAAACAAACAAACAAACAAACAAAACCUUUACCAAACUGUAGAUGUAACAGAGAAAAGAAAGAGAACUUGGGAUAAUAAUACUGUGGUAUUUCAAAUUACAUUUUCAUUUGAGUGUCAUAUAUGAAUAAAAAUCAAAACAAACC